CCUUCCUUCUUCUCCAAUCUCUACUCUUGUAAUAUCCUCUAUCAAGUAACAAAUGCUUAAAUCCAACACUGAAGCUCCUAAAGUUGAGAAUUUGUGAUGACUAGAUCCAACAAUGUUAACCCUCUCUCUAGUCCUUCAGCUGCAAAUGGCAGAAACUCAAACACAUUUCACAAGAACGUGGGCGUUAACCCCAUUUUUGAGUAAGCUCAAGCCCUACAUUCUCCACACUCAGUCAUUUCACCUUUUUCUUUUUCCUGGUUUGCAGAUUCUCUGUUCAUGUACAGAUAAAGAACAACAAAGAAACCGUUAUUAUAUUAUUAAAACAACUAUUCUACCCACUUUAUUGUCUAAUCAGUCAUCACCCCAAACAAGAAGACGUGACAUUGAUGCUACCGAUCUCUCGGAUCCCUAAUCCACAAUUCCCAAAAAUUUGCAGAAUCUCGAUAAAUUUGCAAGUUGCAGUCUUUGCUUCUUCUACCGGGCACGUACAGAGAUACUCCAUGUUAUAAAGAGAGAUGAUGGGACGGAGGGGGAGUUGAGUUGAGGGAGAAGGCACUGAAACAUUUACGAAUUUUAUUGAUUUUUGCUGAGGGAGAUGGCGAGAGGUGGAGAGUGGUUGGGCGGGGUUUACCGCAGCGGGAGAAGGGGGAAAUGGUGUUCGUACAAGUGGGCAACAAUCAUUGUCUGCUCCAUCAACACCGUGGUUGCUUUCUUUGUGCUUCACUCUCUCUUCACUUCUCUGUACAUGUACAACGAUUACCAGAAGGAUUUUAGAUAUAGCCCAGAUCAGAUUAGGACAAUGGAAGACUCUAUUCGAAUACGAAAAGGAUCAGAACCUACAGAGCUUAUUAAGUUGGUAACACAAAUAAAGGACAAGCUUUUAGUGGAAGAAAAGGUUGUGGAAGCACCACAUUCCAUGAAACAGAAGAUAACAGAUGAGAUUAUAGCCACUUUGAGAGGCUUGGAAGGUGUUGUGAAUGCAACCUUGCAGACAGAGGCAGUUGAAAACUGGCGCAAGGCAAAAGUAGAAGAAGCCAAUAAAGUUAUACAUGGGAAUAAAUCAAAUUCGAGUAUUGCACCAGAGGAAGCUGUUGCAUUAGCAAGAGCUUUGGAGAUUGAUUGGUUUGAGCUGUCUGAGGAAAUUGGUCUCCAUAUACCAGUUGAGGUCAUUAAUAAGGAACAUUAUGACAAACCUGAUGGAGCGGAAUUUGAAAGUGAAAUCAUUGCUGGCAAAAAACUUCCUCCUGAAUGUCAUGCAGAGCUUCAUACAGAUUAUGAUGGCGAUGCAGUCAGAUGGGGCCUAACCCACCUUAAAGAAUCUGCAUAUGACUGUUGUAUGGCUUGUUUGGAUCAAGCUAAGCAUGCAAAACCAGGCGAGAAAAAGUGCAAUAUAUGGGUUUACUGCCCAUCUGAAACGGGAUGUUAUUCCCCUGAUAUUUAUCAACAUAAACAUCAGGAAUGCUGGUUGAAAUCUUCAGAGAAUCCCAGAUUGAACUUUAAGGCGCGGUAUUCUGAAUCUUUUAGAAAUGUCAAUCCAAAUGCACCAUUAGUCGUUCCAUGGAUGUCUGGAGUUGUCAGUGUAUAAGCUACUCACUAACAGAAGAAGAUAACGAAACAUUGAUCCUUGAAGAAAGCUGCUUUAUAGCCGUGUGGAGUGGAUUUCCAAUAGAAUACUGAUUACUGUUAAGCAUAGUAAAGUUUGCACUCCAAGUAUUUAGUGCUGAAGGGUACUUUUCACCUGCAAGUUUACCAACAAGCUCUCCAACCAUCAUCUCUCACCCAAAAAAUGGCCUGCUAUCGUGAUGAAACCUCACCAAAUCCUUCCAAGAGAUGCAAAUGCCUUUCCUCGACUUUGAAGGAUGCAUUUGCUAACUGCCAUGGUUUAUGCUGCAAGUUCUCUACUUCCAGACUGGAAAACGAAGAAGAAGAAGAAGAAGAAGCUCUAACCAGUGAUUACGAAGAAGAUGAAGAAUUUGUCUCGGCAGUCAUAAGCAAAUACCUGGAAUCAAAAUUCAGGCAGAAGAUGAGCCUUAAUUUGUGCUGUGAUUUCUCCCCUGCUGCCGGAGAUUUGUUCAUCCCUGCAAAGGCAAUAUUAAUGCAGCAGAAGCUGGGAAACAAUGGUGAAGAAAGAGAGGAGUUUGUGUCUGUUGGCAGCCAUUUCUCUCACUGCUCAUCAAGCUCUACCGGCAGCAUGGAGGCAUUUGUGUCGGCCAAGACGAGCUUUUCCCGGUGCUCGAGCUUGAGCGGGAUCGAUUUCCCUGAUUUGUGGAGGCGGGGCUCGAACAUUGUGCAGUUUUCUCAGUGCGAAGGAUGGCCGUUUGGUCUUUGCCGGCGGGCUUUGUUGCUCCCACCUCUGCCCAAAUCUCCGUCUGAUUCUUGGAAGUGGCGCAAGACUGCUGGAUUUAUCAAGUUACAUUGAAAUGCUCAUGUUAUUCUAUCUUUAUGUACAUAAAUCAUAAAGUUCAGCCGAAAGUAUAGAUUAGACUUUUGUUUACUGUAUACAAGAAAUCCUUCACUUUCAAAAGUUGUAUUCACACUGCCGCUAGUUAGACUGGUCUUUCUUUCUAAAUUUUACUCAUUUUGUGACUAAUUGAGCUGCUUAUGCAAACAUUUUAAAAACAUUAUUGGAAU
RNA transcript from Ipomoea triloba (trilobed morning glory), 2631 nucleotides. RefSeq lists it as uncharacterized. The record is from RefSeq and is a predicted model, not a curated record. The transcript has 9 exons. NCBI's taxonomy places the organism in Eukaryota, Viridiplantae, Streptophyta, Magnoliopsida, Solanales, Convolvulaceae.